GCACCAAGCAAGUGUAACCUAGAGCCUUUGAAAAUACAUUGGGGCAAAAAAGUAUUUAGUCAGCCACCAAUUGUGCAAGUUCUCCCACUUAAAAAGAUGAGAGGCCUGUAAUUUUCAUCAUAUGUACACUUCAACUAUGGCCGACAAAAUGAGAAGAAAGAAAUCCAGAAAAUCACAUUGUAGGUUUUUAAUGAAUUUAUUUGCAAAUUAUGGUGGAAAAUAAGUAUUUGGUCAAUAACAAAAGUUUAUCUCAAUACUUUGUUAUAUACCCUUUGUUGGCAAUGACAGAGGUCAAACGUUUUCUGUAAGUCUUCACAAGUUUUCACACACUGUUGCUGGUAUUUUGGCCCAUUCCUCCAUGCAAAUCUCCUCUAGAGCAGUGAUGUUUUGGGGCUGUUGCUGGGCAACACGGACUUUCAACUCCCAAAGAUUUUCUAUGGGGUUGAGAUCUGGAGACUGGCUAGGCCACUCCAGGACCUUGAAAUGCUUCUUACGAAGCCACUCUUUCGUUCGGCGGUGUGUUUUGGAUCAUUGUCAUACUGAAAGACCCAGCCACGUUUCAUCUUCAAUGCCCUUGCUGGUGGAAGGAGGUUUUCAUUCAAAAUCUCACGAUACAUGGCACCAUUCAUUCUUUCCUUUACACUGAUCAGUCGUCUUGGUCCCUCUGCAGAAAAACAGCCCCAAAGCAUGACGUUUCCACCCCCAUGCCUCACAGUAGGUAUGGUGUUCUUUGGAUGCAACUCAGCAUUCUUUGUCCUCCAAACACGACGAGUUGAGUUUUUGCCAAAAAGUUAUAUUUUGGUUUCAUCUGACCAUAUGACAUUCUCCCAAUCUUCUUCUAGAUCAUCCAAAUGCUCUCUAGCAAACUUCAGACGGGCCUGGACAUGUACUGGCUUAAGCAGGGGGACACGUCUGGCACUGCAGGAUUUGAGUCCCUGGCGGUGUAGUGUGUUACUGAACGUAGGCUUUGUUACUUUGGUCCCAGCUCUCUGCAGGUCAUUCACUAGGUCCCCCCGUGUGGUUCUGGGAUUUUUGCUCACCGUUCUUGUGAUCAUUUUGACCCCAUGGGGUGAGAUCUUGCGUGGAGCCCCAGAUCGAGGGAGAUUAUCAGUGGUCUUGUAUGUCUUUCAUUUCCUAAUAAUUGCUCCCACAGUUGAUUUCUUCAAACCAAGCUGCUUACCUAUUGCAGAUUCAGUCUUCCCAGCCUGGUGCCGGUAUACAAUUUUGUUUCUUGGGUCCUUUGACAGCUCUUUGGUCUUGGCCAUAGUGGAGUUUGGAGUGUGACUGUUUGAGGUUGUGGACAGGUGUCUUUUAUACUGAUAACAAGUUCAAACAGGUGUCAUUAAUACAGGUAACGAGUGGAGGACAGAGGAGCCUCUUUAAAGAAGAAGUUACAGGUCUGUGAAAGCCAGAAAUAUUGCUUGUUUGUAGGUGACCAAAUACUUAUUUUCCACCAUAAUUUGCAAAUAAAUUCAUAAAAAAUCCUACAAUGUGAUUUUCUGGAUUUUUUUUCUCAUUUUGUCUGUCAUAGUUGAAGUGUACCUAGGAUGAAAAUUACAGGCCUCUCUCAUCUUUUUAAGUGGGAGAACUUGCACAAUUGGUGGCUGACUAAAUACUUUUUUGCCCCACUGUAUAUAGGUGUCAUUAUUGAAGUAUGUAUAUUACUUCCCUAUUUAUAAAAAUGUCUGGAUAACGGUAUUACAGCAUCUGAAGUGUGUGCAAUGCUCUGCAUUGUGUGCAGUAGUAUACUGUAAUUUAGGUGCAAUGUUUUGGGUCAAGCUUAAAGCUUCAGUGCGAUUGGUCAGUGAAGGACCAGGUGACUCGGUAGUCACGCGCUUUCCAACGAACCCGUCAGGAAGAAGAAAAACAAAACAAACGCAAGAGAAAGGCAGCGUGGACUCCAUUGAAAUUGCUUUGUUAUUGCUCAGAUAGGAAUAAACACGAAGCGAAACACGACACAAAACGUUCAUAUGGGGUUUCUAAAGACACCAGGCACCAGACGAGAACUAGACUUCCAUGAGUUCACAGAGUUUUCCACAAUAAAGAAGACUCUUUUUGUUACUUAACUCAUAGAUUUUUCUACUGUCGGUUGACAUCAUCCGAAGACGACUGGGACACGAGGUGGAGGAAACAUUCACAAUAAGGAACAGAGAUCGGUGCUCGGCGAUGCCUCAGCCCGGCAUCAGUGGAAUGGAUCUUCCCUUUGGGGAUUUCUUUCAAAAUUAUACUUUUGCUGAUCAGGCGCUGACCAGCACGGACCUGUUGGCGAGUAACACAGACCCAGACUUCAUGUACGAACUGGACAGAGAAAUGACUGCUUGCCUAAGUCCUAGAGUUGAUCACUUCACGGUGGGGGACUGCAAGGAGAUGGAGUGUGGGGAGCACCUCAUGGAGCUGGUGGACAGUGAUCCGGCCUACAGCUCGAACUUUGAGCAGUGGGAUACGUACUGGGAGGACCUGACCAAGUACACCCGUUUCACCAGCUGUGACAUCUGGGGCACCAAGGAGGCAGGCCUGGAUGACUUCUCCAGCCCUUACCAAGACGAGGAGGUGAUUGCCCGGACCCCCACCUUGGCUCAGCUCAACAGCGAGGACUCGCAGCCCCCUGUGUGUGACACACUCUACCACCCUGAUCUGCUGAUAGGGGGCCAGAAGCAGCACACCUCCCUCCACCCACUCUCCCUGAGCAAGAAGACAGCCGCCCGCCCGGGCCCCUCCUCUUCCUGCUCCAACCUGGUCAAGAACCCCCUGGGUGACUUUGCCAAGGGUUCCCAGAAGGCCACCUGGCCUGUCCCCUCCAGCACAGAGACAAUGUCCAAGGCCCAGGGAACCAGCAAGAUGGCCACCCUGGGCUACCACUGCAAUGACUACGUGCGCAAGGCAAAGGUUCGCAUCAGCAUGCCCCACCGGCCCCUAGUCGACAUGCCCAUGGCCUCCCAUCAGGUUGAGGCUGAAAACCACUUCACAUACAGCAGGAAGCCCCCAGAGCUGGCCACCACAUCUGGCUGUGCUGCCCCCGUGGCUGCUCCUGCUACUGCAGCCUCCGCCUCUGCCUCCGCCAGCACUCUGGCCUACGAGAAGACUGUAGAGCUGCCUCGCCGGGAGAUGCCACCCGCCUCAGUGGGCACGUCUGGCGCUGUGCCCCCUAUGCUCCACUACCCUGUAGCUGGGGCUGGGGCCAGCGAGACCCUGGUGACUGCCAGUGGGACUGACCCAGUCUCUGACAAGAAGAAGGAGGAGGAGCACAACUACUCCCUGUUCCUAACCCGAGCCAGGCUGGCCGGGAAAGCCCUCACUGAGGAGGAGGAAGAGGUUGAAGAGGAGGAGGAAGAGGAGGAGGAGGUGGGGGAGGACGAAGAGGAUGCUGAGGGGGUGGAGCUGGAUGAAGAUCUUGAUGAAGAUCAUGAUGAGGGUUUUGGAAGCGAGCAUGAGCUCUCUGAGAAUGAUGAUGAGGAAGAUGAGGAGGACGAUGAUUAUGAGGGGGAUAAAGAUGAUGACAUGAGCGACGCCUUCUCCGAGCCAGGUAGCCAUAUAUCAGGAUGUGACAAUGACGCGGUGGAGGACGUGAAGGGGCUGACGGCAGGGAUCUCCAGGAAGAGGGGCAAACGCCGCUACUUCUGGGAGUACAGCGAGCAGCUCACCCCCUCCAAGCAGGAAUGCUUGCUCAAGCCCUCUGAGUGGGACAGGGAGACCCUGCCCAGCAACAUGUACCAGAGGAAUGGCCCACACCACGGGAAGUACACUCUGAAGAAGUCUCGGCGGACAGAUGUGGAGGACUUGACCCCUAACCCUCGCAAGCUGCUGCAGAUCGGGAACGAGCUGCGUAAGCUCAACAAGGUGAUCAGUGAUCUGACCCCGGUCAGCGAGCUGCCCCUCACAGCCCGCCCACGCUCCCGCAAGGAGAAGAACAAACUGGCAUCCAGGGCCUGUCGACUGAAGAAGAAAGCUCAGUAUGAGGCCAACAAAGUCAAGCUGUGGGGUCUGGGCACAGAAUACGAUCGGCUUCUGUUUGUCAUCAACACCAUAAAGGAAGAAAUAGUGAACAGAGUGCAGGAUAUCUGCGACGACAAGGGAACUAGCAUGGCUGAAACUCUGGACAAACUCAUCCAAGAGACCCUUGUGAAGUCACCAGUUGCCGGGCAGACGUCUGACUUUGUUAACCAGAUCCUAGAGAACACUGGCAAGGGGGAUCCCACUGGAGGACUGGUCGGGCUGCGUGUACCCACGUCUAGAGUGUAGAUGGACCAUGUAGAGGUCUGGUGAUGGCAUACUCAAAGCCAUCCGCGCCAUUCUUGUCCCACACUGUAACGGCUCACCCUCUGCAUGACCAUUCCAUCCAGGAAUCGCAUCACCAUGCCCUGUGGGAAGAUAAACAUACCACUCUCCAAAUGGAUCUCAUGUACAGAUGAAAAUUGAUGCUGCUUUGCCUCAGACAGUUUUCUCAUCAGUGGAAUGUAGUCUUCCUUCAAAGGAUUCAAUUCAAUAUAAGGAUAUGUUCAUACUCCAGAUGUCCAGUGUAACAUUGGGUGAGAGAGACUAUCCAAAGUGUGCUGCAAUCAUGAUUCAGAGGAAUUUGAACUUGUUUGUAUGGUUGUCCUUAUUUCUGUAAACCUUUUUUUAUUUAUUUUGUAUUUGUGCUCAAAAUCAGUCAAUUGUUGCACACGUUUGAAUUUUUUAAAUAUUUUUUUGCCUUUUCUACUUAGACCUUACCUACUUGCCAUACCAUUUAUUUUAUAUUUCAUUUGAAAUAUUUCCUCUAGUUUACCUAUAGAAAUUAUUUUAGAUAUUCAUGAUACCGCAGCGAGCUAUAUGUUCUUGCUGAAUUACAUUUAUCAGACCCAGAGCAUUCACCAAUGGUGAUUGAUUUAGUUGAGUUUUCUAUAGAACCGGUAGAUCUGCUUUGCAAAAACUGUCAAUUUACCAACCUAUUGUGUCCCCUCCAAAAAUGAUCAAGAUAAUUGUGCCUCUUUGGUCCUCAUUUUCUACUGUUCCACAAACGUCUGGGUUUCACUUUACCCGGAGCAGUGUCACAUGUACAAGCAGAUGGCCUUCAGCAGCCUUUCUUCAAUGAACAAACAAGGAUUGAAACAGUAACUCUUAAUGACACAUGUUGAGGUUUGCAUUGUUCAACAUAGAUCUGUUAAACCAUGGAGUUCCAGGAAACAAACCUCGGUUGUCUCUAGUAAUUACGCAGGGGCAGGCGGUGCUUUAAACGUGGCAAAGCCUGUAUAACGCUUAAAGCAAUGGUGAUUGGUGAAGUGGUGGGCAUCUGCACAAAUCCAGGUUCCUUGAUUUCACCAGUUUGCUCCAAAGUGCCACCACACAGUUCUUCAUAACUUAAGAUUGAAGGGGGCACUAAUUGGAGAGUGAGUUUAAAACAAAACAAUGCAAACAGCUGAUUGGAGGCACCGUUCACCAGCCAUGGUGCUGAAUCUCAAAGACGUACUUGAACUUCCCCAAGAGCUGCAACUCGGGCCCUGUUGCUGUGUGGGAACGCUGCCUGAGGGGUGUUGCAACUCUUGACCAGUUCCCAGUGAACUUUGGACAGUGACUGACUUCUUUUUAAGACCUGCUGUAGCCACUGCAGUGUCGGUGUCAGUAACGCCUUGUCCUCAGUAAUGGUGGUUGACGACCGUGUUUUUAAAAAUGUAAUUGAAGUGGAUUGGCUGGUAGCUUUGAUAGGAUUAUUAUUUUUUGCUUCAGGAAAAGGCAUAGAGAUCGGUAAGGGUCACUAGGGCUGCUGGGCAGAGAUCUCUCAUCCCUUUACCGAAGUGUUGGAAUAUGUGUUCCUGCAUAGUACACAUGCAGACCAAUUCAAUGAUUACCAAUGACAUAGAGAAAACAGAUAUAACCCUCUUUCAAAGCACCAUAAACACAUCAUAUUCACACUGCAAUGAUUUACAUUUUCCUUCCAAACUUGCCAAAUAAUUUUUUGGGGAAAUCCAUACAACUCCCAAUGAGGACAUUUUUUUUUUUUAAAGAUAUCUCACCCAUUCUUAAAACUACACAAUUCAUGCCCUUGAUGUAAUGCUUCUGAUGUUGUAUGGUAUUUCAAUAGAUAAUGUAGCAUGGGAACUUUAAGUAGUUAGUACUGUGUGUGUACUCCCCAAGUGAAAAAUAUUUGUCACAGUAGGAAGGCUGUAUUUCAUUGCUAAGUGCUCUGUAAUAAAUCUCUUGGGUGAUACUCAUAAACAAAUCUGUAUCCUGCUGAAACUAACAGUGACUUGAUCCUAUUAGAAAUGUCUAUAUUUGUAGUUCACAUGUAUGCCUGUUCAAAUUCAAUAAUAUCUUGACAGUUCUAUUUAUGUUGUUUAAAUGUUGUGCUGGGUUUAUACUUUUGUCGUUCGAUCUCUUUCUCUUAUUUUUGUUUCCAUUUUUUUUGGAGGCACAAUUAGUUGGAGAUCAGAUAAUGAUCCUUGUAAAUGUACAGAUGUGAUGUAGGUUGGGUUCAGUUAUGAUUGAUUGGAAAAAUGUGUCUGCUUGUGUAAUUGUGCCUCUCCUUCAUUUAGUUUAGUUUUUAUUUUUUUUUAUCAUACUUUUUCUCACAGAAUUGUAUCAGCCAGGAGUUGGUACCACACUUGUGGCUAGGUGGAGUACAGCUAUGGACUGAAGUGACUUUACGUAGCAGGUUAGGAGAAUUAAUGUAGCAGGUUAAGGUUAGGAAAAGGGUAAGGGUUAGCAAAAAUGCUACAGCUGACCCCGAUGUGACUCGAACAUGUAACUUUUGGUCCGUAGCUGUACUCCAAUCUAGCCACAACCCGAUUUUGCUUGUAACCAUGAUUUUAUUGUCCAAUUCUAUUGUUGAUUUUAAUAUCAAAAUAAAAACCUUUGAAAACCA
This is an RNA transcript of Oncorhynchus keta (chum salmon), 6838 nucleotides long. It is a transcript of the gene named CREB3 regulatory factor-like, with no coding region annotated. The record is from RefSeq and is a predicted model, not a curated record. The transcript is spliced from 10 exons. Lineage: Eukaryota; Metazoa; Chordata; Actinopteri; Salmoniformes; Salmonidae.